CCUACGGGAGGCAGCAGUAGGGAAUAUUGCUCAAUGGGGGAAACCCUGAAGCAGCAACGCCGCGUGGAGGAUGAAGGUUUUCGGAUUGUAAACCCCUUUUGUUAGAGAAGAUAAUGACGGUAUCUAACGAAUAAGCACCGGCUAACUCCGUGCCAGCAGCCGCGGUAAUACGGAGGGUGCAAGGGUUACUCGGAAUCACUGGGCGUAAAGCGCGCGUAGGCGGGAUAGCAAGUCAGAUGUGAAAUCCUAUGGCUUAACCAUAGAACUGCAUUUGAAACUGGUAUUCUAGAGUAUGGGAGAGGUAGGUGGAAUUCUUGGUGUAGGGGUAAAAUCCGUAGAGAUCAAGAGGAAUACUCAUUGCGAAGGCGACCUGCUAGAACAUAACUGACGCUGAUGCGCGAAAGCGUGGGGAGCAAACAGGAUUAGAUACCCGGGUAGUC
Molecule: ribosomal RNA, 440 nt
Filed under: uncultured bacterium
Lineage: Bacteria
Description: partial 16S ribosomal RNA
Rfam family: Bacterial small subunit ribosomal RNA
Source: RNAcentral